This 519-nucleotide ribosomal RNA is filed under the name uncultured bacterium. RNAcentral describes it as "bacterial SSU rRNA". It matches the Rfam family "Bacterial small subunit ribosomal RNA", at positions 30 to 526 of the family's 1533-position model. The record is from RNAcentral.
AUUGAACGCUGGCGGCAGGCCUAACACAUGCAAGUCGAGCGGCAGCGACACCAACAAUCCUUCGGGUGCGUUGGUGGGCGGCGAGCGGCGGACGGGUGAGUAAUGCCUGGGAAUAUGCCCUGAUGUGGGGGAUAACCAUUGGAAACGAUGGCUAAUACCGCAUAAUCUCUUCGGAGCAAAGAGGGGGACCUUCGGGCCUCUCGCGUCAGGCUUAGCCCAGGUGAGAUUAGCUAGUUGGUGAGGUAAGAGCUCACCAAGGCGACGAUCUCUAGCUGGUCUGAGAGGAUGAUCAGCCACACUGGAACUGAGACACGGUCCAGACUCCUACGGGAGGCAGCAGUGGGGAAUAUUGCACAAUGGGGGAAACCCUGAUGCAGCCAUGCCGCGUGUGUGAAGAAGGCCUUCGGGUUGUAAAGCACUUUCAGUCGUGAGGAAGGCGUUAUCGUUAAUAGCGGUAGUGUUUGACGUUAGCGACAGAAGAAGCACCGGCUAACUCCGUGCCAGCAGCCGCCGUAAAAC